GAUGAAGAACGUAGCGAAAUGCGAUACGUAAUGUGAAUUGCAGAAUUCAGUGAAUCAUCGAGUCUUUGAACGCACAUUGCGCCCUCUGGUAUUCCGGAGGGCAUGCCUGUCCGAGCGUCAUUGCUGCCCUCAAGCACGGCUUGUGUGUUGGGCCCCGUCCUCCUUCCGGGGGACGGGUCCGAAAGGCAGCGGCGGCACCGCGUCCGGUCCUCAAGCGUAUGGGGCUUUGUCACUCGCUUUGUAGGCCUGGCCGGCGCUUGCCGAUCAACCAAACUUUUUAUCAGGUUGACCUCGGAUCAGGUAGGGAUACCCGCUGAACUUAAGCAUAUCAAUAAGCGGAGGA
Molecule: unclassified non-coding RNA, 343 nt
Filed under: soil metagenome
Description: partial contains 5.8S ribosomal RNA, internal transcribed spacer 2, and large subunit ribosomal RNA
Rfam family: 5.8S ribosomal RNA (bases 1-120)
Source: RNAcentral